This 254-nucleotide ribosomal RNA is filed under the name uncultured bacterium. RNAcentral's name for it is "partial 16S ribosomal RNA". It matches the Rfam family "Bacterial small subunit ribosomal RNA", at positions 524 to 776 of the family's 1533-position model. The record is from RNAcentral.
UACGUAGGGAGCGAGCGUUGUCCGGAUUCAUUGGGCGUAAAGAGCUCGUAGGCGGCUUGGUAAGUCGGAUGUGAAACCUCCAGGCUCAACCUGGAGUCGCCAUCCGAUACUGCCAUGGCUAGAGUCCGGUAGGGGCCCACGGAAUUCCUGGUGUAGCGGUGAAAUGCGCAGAUAUCAGGAAGAACACCGGUGGCGAAGGCGGUGGGCUGGGCCGGCACUGACGCUGAGGAGCGAAAGCGUGGGGAGCGAACAGG